This is a long non-coding RNA of Cervus elaphus (red deer), 1603 nucleotides long. RefSeq lists it as uncharacterized. The record is from RefSeq and is a predicted model, not a curated record. NCBI's taxonomy places the organism in Eukaryota, Metazoa, Chordata, Mammalia, Artiodactyla, Cervidae. The transcript is spliced from 3 exons.
GCUGGGAGGUAAGCCAGACUCAGUCGCCAAGACCUGGGCAGCCCGGGGCAAGAAGAAGCUGCAGGAAAUCGGAAAUCUAAGGCCAAAAGGAAAGGAGAGACAGUCAAGAUUCUUUCCCUGUGGUCCUCAACCGUUCUCAGGUGCAGAGGAAGAGGGGCGCAUCCCAGAGGAAGGUCGUCCUAACCAGCUUUCCCCCUAGCACCUGCUGCAGCCCGCCAGGCUCCCCGGCCAGGCAGUCACGAGUGCGAAAGGUCGAGGGCGGCUGAGGACAGUGCCGAGGGAGGAGAUGGGAAAAAGAGGGGUGCGUGCGAAGCGCCAGCUGCCUUUGACCGGAGGCUACGCUCCUGCUGAAAGCAAGGACUCUCGGGAUGCCUCACAGCCCCCGGGGCCUCGCAAGCCGACGGCUGCCAGGGCACCCGCGACCGGCAAGAUGUGGUUGGACACACCUCGGGGACUGCCUCGCGAAUAAUUUGCAAAAGCAUUUCCCCAAAGCAACACAUUAGACCCCAGGAAAGCAGUGGAAGUGAGAAGGACCAGACUUACUUUUAUGAUAGAUAGAGAACCAUCUUUGCCUGGAGAAGUGUGCGCUUGAUAGAGUCCAGGAUGUCCAUAACCAAGUGUGAAAGUGGUGGUGAUGUAGCUGGUACUGCUAAGAAGCACCAAGGGAUUGCGAUGGAAACAAAAGUGAAAGUAAUUGAGAGAACAGAGUGACAAGGGGAAGAAGUAACUGAAGCAAAGAGACUCAUGAUGCAGGAAACAGCAAGGGGAUUUUCUUUACCUGAGGAGGCACUGUUAGUUUUGAGGUGCCGGACCUGAAUGUAGAAUGGUACACGAAGGUUGCAGCAGCCGUUCAGAAUGCAAUCCAGUGCUACCGAGUCAUGUAUGAUGAGAAAAAAAAAAAAGAGCUACUAUUUGGUCAUCACUGGAUCAUUUUUUCAAGAAGGUAGAUAGAAUUGACUCCGGCAAGGAACCAAAACUUGUGCCAUCAACGCAGGCAGGAGUGAAACGGCAGCUUGCCCUCACCCCCAGUUGCUGACAAUCAUUCAGCUCUACCAUCCCUCACCUCCUCCGCCUCCUUCAGCCAGUAACUCUUCUUGCUUUUCACGCGAUGAUGCCAGCCCCAGUAUGCCAGCUGUCGUAUUGUACUACUUUACUUUCAAGAUAUUGGACUGUAAGGUUAAAAAUCUUUUAUUUUUUGUUUGUUUUUGUUUUAUUUGUGUGAAAAGUACUAUAAACCUGUUUCCAUACAGUACUAUAUAGCUGGUUGUGUUAACUGAGUACUUAGACUAACUUUGUUGGACUUACAAACAAAUUGGACUUAUAAACACGCUCUCAAAAUGGAACUCAUUUUUAUGUAGGGGACUUGCUGUAACUGGAAGGGAAGAGAGACAGCUUGUCCAGAAAUAAGGCCCUGAAAACAGAUAUAAACCUUCCAACUUCCCCACCCUUUGAGACUGACAUUUAUUUGGGGGAUUUCAGUGGAUAUAGAUUGAUUUUUUAAAGUUUGGGCCAUUUUGUCUGGAUUUCAAGAAGAGGGAUCCUCCCUUGAACCGUGGCUUACAUUUGCCAUUUUGCAAGGAAGGCAUUUCAAUCCUAACUUUGU